CCUACGGGUGGCAGCAGUGGGGAAUAUUGCACAAUGGGCGCAAGCCUGAUGCAGCCAUGCCGCGUGUGUGAAGAAGGCCUUCGGGUUGUAAAGCACUUUCAGCGGGGAGGAAGGCGGUGAGGUUAAUAACCUCAUCGAUUGACGUUACCCGCAGAAGAAGCACCGGCUAACUCCGUGCCAGCAGCCGCGGUAAUACGGAGGGUGCAAGCGUUAAUCGGAAUUACUGGGCGUAAAGCGCACGCAGGCGGUCUGUCAAGUCGGAUGUGAAAUCCCCGGGCUCAACCUGGGAACUGCAUUCGAAACUGGCAGGCUAGAGUCUUGUAGAGGGGGGUAGAAUUCCAGGUGUAGCGGUGAAAUGCGUAGAGAUCUGGAGGAAUACCGGUGGCGAAGGCGGCCCCCUGGACAAAGACUGACGCUCAGGUGCGAAGGCGUGGGGAGCAAACAGGAUUAGAUACCCGGGUAGUC
This 465-nucleotide ribosomal RNA is filed under the name uncultured Klebsiella sp. Its description in RNAcentral is "bacterial SSU rRNA". It matches the Rfam family "Bacterial small subunit ribosomal RNA", at positions 338 to 795 of the family's 1533-position model. The record is from RNAcentral. Lineage: Bacteria; Pseudomonadati; Pseudomonadota; Gammaproteobacteria; Enterobacterales; Enterobacteriaceae.